ACGGGCUCGACGCGAGGAUCGACUUUCCUCAAAGUGGGCCGAGCAUCCGAGCUCGGGAAGGCGGCCAAAACGGGCCACGAAGGUGCUACCAUACCCAUUUCUGCACUCUCUGUGCGCUGCUGGUUGGGGGCGAAGGAGGGCGGAUCCAGAGCUGGGUUGGGUCGGAAAUGGAUGGAGGGGCUGAACAAGACCUAGGCAAGACUUCACGGUGGCCGGAGGUGGUCGGAGGGAGCUACGGUGGGUCUCUACCGUCCCUCAUGACCACCGAACAGCAACUAGCCAGGCGGUUCGUGGACGGCAGCUCGACUGGACGGGGUGGUCGGCGCGGUUG
RNAcentral lists this long non-coding RNA (331 nucleotides) under Eucalyptus grandis. RNAcentral describes it as "long non-coding RNA (EGRA_LNC003240)". Lineage: Eukaryota; Viridiplantae; Streptophyta; Magnoliopsida; Myrtales; Myrtaceae. The record is from RNAcentral.